This 222-nucleotide unclassified non-coding RNA is filed under the name uncultured fungus. Its description in RNAcentral is "sequence contains ITS2". The record is from RNAcentral. Lineage: Eukaryota; Fungi.
AACGCACAUUGCGCCUCUCUUUACCGGGAGGCAUGCCUGUCUGAGCGUCAUUUAAACCAAUGAACAAUUAACUUUGUUCGUAUUGGGUUUCACCCUCUAGGUGUUACCUUAAAGCAAUUGGUCUAUAUUAGCGGACGAGAUCCUUUAGGACUAAACCGUGAAUUAAACCAAAAAACUUCUGAUUUUGACCUCAGAUCAGGUAGGGAUACCGCCUGAACUUAA